This is a long non-coding RNA of Manihot esculenta (cassava), 750 nucleotides long. RefSeq lists it as uncharacterized. The transcript has 2 exons. NCBI's taxonomy places the organism in Eukaryota, Viridiplantae, Streptophyta, Magnoliopsida, Malpighiales, Euphorbiaceae. The record is from RefSeq and is a predicted model, not a curated record.
AUUUCUUUCUUAUGAAAAUAAACCCAUUAGCGGCGCCAAGGAAGAACCCAGAACAACAAACCAAACAUCCAGAAACCUAGAGGCGGCGGCGUCGAUCUCCAUUGAGCUGGAGCUGAGGAAGAAGAAUCGGAGGCGUCCGCAGCUGCCACUCUGCCUGCAUGCCUUCCAGAAAACCUUUUGAAGCCCAUUUACAGGUAGCCAAUAACAAAGCCGUCGACGGCGACCUCCUCAACUGACACAGAGCACAUCAGCAAAAAAACCUUCAUAAUUUCUUUGUAUUCGCUGUUCUUCGGAGACAUGGAAGAGCAGGUGUAUGAUUGCAGUUGAUUCAGUUUGAAAUCAUGCGAAACCAAAAUAACUGAAUGACUGAAACGAUUAAUUGGGUCGUUUCUUUCUUAAUUUGAACGUUAGAGGGUUUUCACUAGCGGCCUUCCUAGUGAAUUUCUAUUAUUUUCGUUUGUUUGCCGAUCCCUAGUUAAGAUUUGCUUAUGGGAUCCUUUAUUGAUGAAGCUAUAAUCAAGAUUAAUCGAUUGGUUCUGUAUGUGAGAAUAGCACAAAAACAAUGUGUCUCUUCCUUUUGAAUUUGUAAAGGAAUGCGUUUCAUAUUGCGAAGAGAAAAAGAGAAGGAACUAUUUUUGGAAGAGAUCCAUUUGGCUAAAAAAAAAUGGAUAGUUAGUGGUUUACAACAUGAAAAUUUUACAUGAGUAAAUCUUUAGAAGAGUUAAUGAGAAAAUGAAGUGUUUUAAUUUA